UACAGAGGUCUCAAGCGUUGUUCGGAUUCAUUGGGCGUAAAGGGUGCGUAGGCGGCGCGGUAAGUCGGGUGUGAAAUCUCGGAGCUUAACUCCGAAACUGCAUUCGAUACUGCCGUGCUUGAGGACUGGAGAGGAGACUGGAAUUUACGGUGUAGCGGUGAAAUGCGUAGAUAUCGUAAGGAAGACCAGUGGCGAAGGCGGGUCUCUGGACAGUUCCUGACGCUGAGACGCGAAAGCGUGGGGGGCAAACAGG
RNAcentral lists this ribosomal RNA (253 nucleotides) under uncultured bacterium. RNAcentral's name for it is "partial 16S ribosomal RNA". It matches the Rfam family "Bacterial small subunit ribosomal RNA", at positions 524 to 776 of the family's 1533-position model. The record is from RNAcentral.